CGGCGGACGGGUGAGUAACGCGUGGGUAACCUGCCUUAUACAGGGGGAUAACAACCAGAAAUGGUUGCUAAUACCGCAUAAGCGCACAGGACCGCAUGGUCCGGUGUGAAAAACUCCGGUGGUAUAAGAUGGACCCGCGUUGGAUUAGCUAGUUGGCGGGGUAACGGCCUACCAAGGCGACGAUCCAUAGCCGGCCUGAGAGGGUGAACGGCCACAUUGGGACUGAGACACGGCCCAG
Molecule: ribosomal RNA, 238 nt
Filed under: uncultured bacterium
Lineage: Bacteria
Description: partial 16S ribosomal RNA
Rfam family: Bacterial small subunit ribosomal RNA
Source: RNAcentral